This 210-nucleotide non-coding RNA is filed under the name Clostridium perfringens. Lineage: Bacteria; Bacillati; Bacillota; Clostridia; Eubacteriales; Clostridiaceae. The record is from RNAcentral.
UAGAACUAUUAUCGUGAAAGGUAGAAUGAUAGAGUAACGUCUUGAAAUGCCUUCUCUGAUACUCCGAAUAGCAUUUAAAUGAGUAAACACUUAGAUGUUAUAAGCUCGGUGAAGUCGACUGAGAGUACACCGUAAGUAUUUAAAGCAUAAUUAAUACACGAAAAGCGAACCAGAGGUGGUCGAGUGCAUGAUAGGUCGGGAGUCUAUAAA